Molecule: ribosomal RNA, 519 nt
Filed under: uncultured bacterium
Lineage: Bacteria
Description: partial 16S ribosomal RNA
Source: RNAcentral
AGCGACUGUGCAGGUUACCGCGGCUGCUGGCACGGAGUUAGCCGGUGCUUCUUCUGCGAGUAACGUCACAGCUAGCAGGUAUUAACUACUAACCUUUCCUCCUCGCUUAAAGUGCUUUACAACCCGAAGGCCUUCUUCACACACGCGGCAUGGCUGCAUCAGGGUUUCCCCAUUGUGCAAUAUUCCCCACUGCUGCCUCCCGUAGGAGUCUGGGCCGUGUCUCAGUCCCAGUGUGGCUGAUCAUCCUCUCAGACCAGCUAGGGAUCGUUGCCUAGGUGAGCCAUUACCUCACCUACUAGCUAAUCCCACCUGGGCUUAUCCAUCAGCGCAAGGACCGAAGUUCCCUGCUUUCCCCCGUAGGGCGUAUGCGGUAUUAGCAGUCGUUUCCAACUGUUAUCCCCCACAAAUGGGCAAAUUCCCAGGCAUUACUCACCCGUCCGCCGCUCGUCAUCUUCAAAAGCAAGCUUUUGAAAUGUUACCGCUCGACUUGCAUGUGUUAGGCCUGCCGCCAGCGUUCAA